This 273-nucleotide ribosomal RNA is filed under the name bacterium enrichment culture clone ALO1_GLFRUDD03G5XEK. RNAcentral's name for it is "partial 16S ribosomal RNA". It matches the Rfam family "Bacterial small subunit ribosomal RNA", at positions 9 to 282 of the family's 1533-position model. The record is from RNAcentral.
GAGUUUGAUCCUGGCUCAGAUUGAACGCUGGCGGCAUGCCUUACACAUGCAAGUCGAACGGCAGCACGGGAGCUUGCUCCUGGUGGCGAGUGGCGAACGGGUGAGUAAUGCAUCGGAACGUAUCCUGGAGUGGGGGAUAACGUAGCGAAAGUUACGCUAAUACCGCAUAUUCUGUGAGCAGGAAAGCGGGGGACCUUCGGGCCUCGCGCUCUUGGAGCGGCCGAUGUCGGAUUAGCUAGUUGGUGAGGUAAAGGCUCACCAAGGCGACGAUCC